CCUACGGUGGGCAGCAGUCGAGACUCAUUCACAAUGGGGGACACCCUGAUGGUGCGACGCCGCGUGGGGGAAUGAAGGUCUUCGGAUUGUCAACCCCUGUCAUGUGGGAGCAAAUUAAAAAGAUAGUCCCACAAGAGGAAGAGACGGCUAACUCUGUGCCAGCAGCCGCGGUAAUACAGAGGUCUCAAGCGUUGUUCGGAAUCACUGGGCGUAACGCGUGCGUAGGCUGUUUCGUAAGUCGUGUGGGAAAGGCGCGGGCUCAACCCUCGGACGGCACAUGAUACUGCGAGACUAGAGGAAUGGAGGGGGAACCGGAAUUCUCGGUGUAGCAGGGAA
RNAcentral lists this ribosomal RNA (336 nucleotides) under uncultured bacterium. RNAcentral's name for it is "partial 16S ribosomal RNA". It matches the Rfam family "Bacterial small subunit ribosomal RNA", at positions 338 to 685 of the family's 1533-position model. The record is from RNAcentral.